Molecule: RNA transcript, 3031 nt
Organism: Pecten maximus
Lineage: Eukaryota; Metazoa; Mollusca; Bivalvia; Pectinida; Pectinidae
Gene name: 60S ribosomal export protein NMD3-like
Exons: 16
Source: RefSeq, a predicted model, not a curated record
GACGACUUCCGGCUAGAUUUCACAACUAAGCACAUGUGGUUGGAACUUUAGGUGAAGAGAAUUUGGGUCUUAAACCCAUAAUUUACAGAAAUGGAGUACAUGAAAGAAAGCCCCACACUUUCAGUAAACUUUAUAUUAUGCUGCCAAUGUGGUACUCAGAUCGAGCCCAACCCUACCAACAUGUGUGUGGCCUGUCUAAGGACGCAGGUUGACAUCACAGAAGGCAUACCCAAACAAGGCGUCCUCUACUUCUGUAGAAACUGUGAGAGAUAUCUUCAGCCCCCUAACCAUUGGGUCAAUGCUGCACUUGAAUCCAGAGAACUUCUUUCUGUUUGCCUAAAGAAAUUAAAAAAUGGUCUUAGCAAGGUACAUUUGGUAGAUGCCGGUUUUGUAUGGACAGAACCCCAUUCACAGAGGAUAAAAAUAAAACUCUCUGUACAGAAAGAGGUGUUGAACAGUGCCGUGCUUCAGCAAGUGUUUGUGGUAGAGUUUGUAGUCAACAACCAGAUGUGUGAUGACUGCCAUCGCGUUGAGGCCAAGGAUUUCUGGAGAGCUGUAGUACAGUUACGACAGAAGACGGAUCACAAGAAGACAUUUUACUACCUUGAGCAGCUUAUACUGAAACACAAGGCACAUGUAAAUACCGUCAACAUCAAGCCACUUCACGAGGGAUUGGACUUUUAUUAUGCCCAUAAAAAUGAUGCCAGGAAGUUGGUGGAUUUUCUAGAAACAGUUGUUCCCUGCAAGUACAACAUUGCACAGGAACUUGUUACUCACGACCCCCACAACAAUACAUACACAUACAAACACACAUUUUCUGUGUCCAUUGUACCUAUAUGUAAGGAUAAUGUGGUGUGUCUCCCCCAGAAGUUGGCUCAGUCGCUUGGAAAUAUCAACCCGAUCUGUGUUUGUUACAAAGUCACGCAAGCUGUCCACGUCAUUGACCCAAACACACUGCAGAUUGCCGAGAUCAGUGGAGCUGUGUUCUUCAGGUCUCCAUUCUCCAACUUGUGUUCCUCGAAACAGUUAGUGGAGUUCAUGGUUAUGCAAGUAGACUUCAUACCAGACAGUGAGCAGAGUAAACGACGGAUACCUACGUCAAACAAGCAUGUACUAGCUGAUGUAUGGGUGUCCAGAUUGACCAACUCGGGACUGAGUGACCAGCAACAUUUCUGUCGGACUUUCCUUGGUCAUCUCCUGAACUCCGGAGACACAGUCCUAGGAUUUGAUUUCACCAACUCCAACCUGAACAAUCGGGAGCUUGAGAAGAUAAAACCAGAAAAUAUCCCAGAUGUUGUGAUUGUCAAAAAGGUAUUUGGAGAAAAGACCCAAAGGAAUAAAAAGAGGAGAUGGAAAUUGAGACAUCUCCAUGAGGAAACAGCAAGUAAUGACAGGGAUUACAACGAUUUCUUGGAAGAUUUGGAAGAGGAUCAAAAUUACCGACAAGGAGUCAACAUCUACAAAGAUGCAAGUAAGAUUGCCGUUGAUGCAGAUGACACUGAUGAUGAAGGUCUUCCUCAGAUCAGCCUCCAGGAAAUGCUUGAUGAUCUUCACAUUGACGAAGAUGCCACUGGUGGGGAGGGAGCUGAUAUGAUAGAAUAGCAUGUUAAAUUAUCUAAACUUAACACGGGGAGUGAGUAGAAUAGCAGGUUAAAUUAUCUAAACUUAACACAGGGAGUGAGUUCAAAUGAUGGAAGAGUGUGAUGAAGACAUCUAAACUUCCGAUGGAGAGGGAGCUUAUCUUAACUUCACAUGGGUAGGGUGCUGAUAUAAUGGAAUAGCAUGUUAAAUACAUCUAAACAUAACAUAGGGAGUGAGUUGAUAUGAUGGAAUACCAUGUUAAAGAUAUCUGAACUUCACAUGGGGAGAGAGUUUACAAAUGUAUGAUGGAAUAGCUUGUUAUAAUUAUCUAAACUUUAAAUGGGGAGGGAGCUGAUAUGAUGGAAUAGCGUGUUGAAUAUAUCUAUUAAAGCUUCACUUGUGUCGAUAUGAUGGAAGGGCAUGUAAAAUAUAUUUAAAGAUUCAAAUGAUUAUUUAUGGUGUGGGUGCUGAUAUUGGAAUAUCAUAUGAAAAGAAUUUUGAUUUCACAAGUUUUUGCAGUGACAGUUACCGUACCAACCUUUUCUCCUGUUCCCGUAUUACCUCCUGCCAAAAUUCACUAUUGGAAUAAAAGAUGAAAAAUCUUACAAUUUUUAUUAUUAUUUUAAUGUCAAAGAUUUUCCUAUGAAACACCUAUUGGUCCAAUCUGCAGUGUGAAAUGCUUUUCCAUUGAACAUUUUAAGCAUGAAUUGUAAACUGCUGGAGAGAUAUAUCUUUGAUUAUACAGCGUGUAUCAUAAGAUUUUGAUGUUUUGUGCUAUGUUUACUUCAAAUGGAUACUGAAGGUAUAUUUACUUUGAAUGGAUACUGAAGAUUUGCUGUUUUUAUGCUUCUUUUUUUCCAAAAUUUGGUUAUUUUGAAAUAAAAAAAGAAUUUGUAACUUAAACAUCUGAUCAGUUAAGAAGUUUUGAGGCUAAUUAUUGAGGAUAUUUGUUUACCAAUAAAUGGUAUAAUACACUGGACUAGUAUUUUAUAGUAUUUUUAAACCUCACAGACUUACACGGGUUUAAACACCUUAUACUGAAAUUUUGUUUAGAAUGAAGACAUCACCAAAUAUAUGAAACAAUGCAAGUUUGGGUCCAGGGGCAUGCCCCACCCCAAAAAACUGAAAGUUCAGUAAUGCAUUCUGUUAUAUUGCAACUCGCUAGAGAGUGUGGAUGUUUUUUUUAAAAAUAUUCGGGUUACUACAUGUAUUUUUUCCCCAACUGAACCUUAAAAGCUUGGGUUUGACAGGAGAUGCCUUGUUGAAUUUUAGGGUCCUUGGACCCCAGUUUAUAUGUUAGCAAGCCACAGUUUGCGUUUUACACACUUACUCAAAUUGGCGACGGAGAACUUAUACUUUUAAUAUUGAUAAUGUUCAUUUACCGGGUAUUGCUAAAUUGUUUUUGAAUAACCUCUAAAAUUACUGCUUGUAAAUAAAAGAAUUGAAGGUA